This 254-nucleotide ribosomal RNA is filed under the name uncultured bacterium. RNAcentral's name for it is "partial 16S ribosomal RNA". It matches the Rfam family "Bacterial small subunit ribosomal RNA", at positions 524 to 776 of the family's 1533-position model. The record is from RNAcentral.
CACGUAGGGACCAAGCGUUGUCCGGAUCUAUUGGGCGUAAAGAGCACGUAGGCGGUUCCGUAAGUCGGGUGUGAAAACUCUGGGCUUAACCCAGAGCCUGCAUCUGAUACUGCGGCGACUAGAGUCCGGUAGGGGAGUGGGGAAUUCCUAGUGUAGCGGUGAAAUGCGCAGAUAUUUGGAGGAACACCGGUGGCGAAGGCGCCACUCUGGGCCGGUACUGACGCUGAGGAGCGAAAGCGUGGGUAGCAAACAGG